UAAUAACAUAAGCCUAAGUUUAAAACGCGGGGGAACCAUUAAUUGGGGUGAAUCACAUUUAUUUUGUGUAGGUUAGCCUUUACCGAACCCGUCAGCUAACCCCGUUGGUAAAAGGAGUGAAUAA
Clostridium tetani E88 is the source of this 124-nucleotide regulatory RNA element. It matches the Rfam family "c-di-AMP riboswitch aptamer (ydaO/yuaA leader)". Rfam says of the family: This family represents a conserved RNA structure found upstream of the ydaO and yuaA genes in Bacillus subtilis and related genes in other bacteria. The ydaO/yuaA element is thought to act as a genetic "off" switch for the ydaO and yuaA genes in its native state. NCBI's taxonomy places the organism in Bacteria, Bacillati, Bacillota, Clostridia, Eubacteriales, Clostridiaceae. The record is from Rfam.